Molecule: long non-coding RNA, 960 nt
Filed under: Vulpes vulpes (red fox)
Lineage: Eukaryota; Metazoa; Chordata; Mammalia; Carnivora; Canidae
Description: lncRNA (ENSVVUG00000019956.1)
Source: RNAcentral
CUGAAGGGUCCCCUCCCCCACCCCCCUCUAUGUAAAGUUCUCAAUUCUCAGUAUCUCACAUCAGCAAUUACCAUCUGCUAGCCCAAAGAGGAGAUAAUUUUCUUCUAAGACUUUCUGGAUAUUCACUAAAGACAACAGAAGAUUCUCAGCAUGGGAAUGAGUCUGGACUUGCUUGUUGAGAGGUAAGAAGAUACAGGGAAGCAUAAACCAGAACAUGAAGGAAAACCCUAUCAAGUUCAGCAAAGCUGCCUAACCAACUCACACCUGACCUCAGAAAUGGCUUGGACACAAGUGCACACCCACCUCCGAAACAGCAAGACCUGCAGCUUCAUCCUUUCUGGCAGGUUGAUGCUCUGGGCCAGAUGGAGACCGUGGCUGUGGACCCCCAGCCCUUCCCAUCCAGCUCCAGAAGUCAAGGCUCUAAUUCACUCUGAAAGGGCUUCAGCACCACCCCUGUGAGGUCCUUAAAUGUUUUAUGAGCUCCCUGAAAUGCUCAGAUAAUUAAAACACUUUCUUAAUUUAAUAGCUUGGCUUAAUGAAACCAGGACUUUAUGUUUUAUUUGGAAAGGGGUGAACAUCCCAGUCACACUUAUUAAUAUUUUUAAGAGUAUGCCCAAUUGUGUCCAGGGAUUGAGGGAAAUCAUUGCUUCAAGGGGAAAAUGGGCUUUCCUGAGUCUGUGACAAGUCUUGGGCUUAUUAGAGCUCAUUACAUCCAGGAAGCCUGAAAACCUAAAUUAGCAAUCAUCACAUAUGACGUGGCAGGCUAUUAUUAAGGAGGCCACUUAUUAUAGAAACAUGGAAUUAUCAAUUAAAAAGUAGUCCACACAAGCCCCAAAGGUCCAAUAGGAUUACCUGUGCCAUCUAGGCAGUCAUUUCAAAGGCUAACAUGGAGAAAAGAAUCCUCAGAGAGCAACUUUUCUGUCAAGUCAAAUAAGUAUGAUCCUCUUAGGAGGAAAAUGC